AGUGAAUAGAUACCCGGGUAGUCCACGCCCUAAACGAUGGAUACUAGGCGUAGGAGGUAUCGACCCCUCCUGUGCCGCAGCAAAAACGCAUUAAGUAUCCCGCCUGGGGAGUACGGCCGCAAGGUUGAAACUCAAAUGAAUUGACGGGGACCCGCACAAGCGGUGGAGCAUGUGGAUUAAUUCGAUACUAACCGAAGAACCUUACCCACUCUUGACAUUGAAGGAAAGCUCUAGAGAUAGGGCCCUCUCCCACAAGGAGACCUGAAAAACAGAUGUUGCAUGGCUGUCGUCAGCUCGUGCCGUGAGGUGUACGGUUAAGUCCGCCAACGAGCGCAACCCUCGUUCUGUGUUACCAGCGAGUAAAGUCGGGCACUCACAGGAGACCGCCGGUGUAAGCCGGAGGAAGGUGGGGAUGAUGUCAAGUCAGCAUGGCUCUUACGAGUGGGGCUUCACACAUGCUACAAUGGGCGCAACAAAGGGCCGCGAUACCGUGAGGUGGAGCAAAUCCCAAAAAUACGUCCUCAGUUCAGAUUGCA
This 536-nucleotide ribosomal RNA is filed under the name uncultured bacterium. RNAcentral's name for it is "bacterial SSU rRNA". It matches the Rfam family "Bacterial small subunit ribosomal RNA", at positions 774 to 1302 of the family's 1533-position model. The record is from RNAcentral.